RNAcentral lists this ribosomal RNA (216 nucleotides) under Glomeromycotina sp. RNAcentral's name for it is "partial small subunit ribosomal RNA". The stretch from base 40 to 216 matches the Rfam family "Eukaryotic small subunit ribosomal RNA", at positions 686 to 864 of the family's 1831-position model. Lineage: Eukaryota; Fungi; Glomeromycota. The record is from RNAcentral.
GGGUCAGUAGGUUGGUCGUGCCACCGGUACGUACUGGUCUCACUGAUUCCUCCUUCCUGAAGAACCGUAAUGCCAUUAAUUUGGUGUUGCGGGGAAACAGGACCGUUACUUUGAAAAAAUUAGAGUGUUUAAAGCAAGCUAGCGCUUGAAUACAUUAGCAUGGAAUAAUGAAAUAGGGCGAUCGAUCCUAUUUUGUUGAUUUCUAGGAUUGACGUA